UGGUAAUCCAACAUUAGGAGUAACGUGCACCGCACACUGACAUCACCAGGUCUUUUCACCUGGAAGCCAUCAGUCUCCUGAGUUGUGGGAGUUCUGUGCCACUCCACAAGAUGGUUGUCAGGUCCAUAAAGAUCUUUAUCCAGUUCAAUGACUAAACUCUUAAAAAAGGAUGAAAACUUUCGUUUCUGUUUGCUGAGGUCAUCCAGGAGCUUCCCCUCCACACGAAGCUCCCAUGAUGCGAUGCUGCCGUCAGAGUCAUCAGCGUCAGAUUUUGCAGGAUUAAAUGUGUUGGAGAUAUAAAGUCUCAGCUUCCGCUUUUGCUUCAUUGGCCUCUUCAGUGCUUCCUGAAUAUCCACGCGCUUCCGCAUAAUGGUCUGGUCUAGUUUGCGUUCAAAAGCCAGCAGAUCCAUGUAGGCCUGGGACUCAGGAACCAACUCCCGGAUCCUCUGAGGGAGAAUUUUGUCAGCCAUCUUCCUCCUCUUGGCACUCCUAGUUCGGUUCUGAGUAGCUUGCUGCUGCUGCUGCACUUGCUGCUGCACCUGCUGUUGUUGGACCUGCUGUGGUGCAGUGCGUUUUCUUGUUGUUUCCAUCACAGUCUGGGGCAUCCCAGGUCUCACCGAGGGGCUUCCAACAUAUGGAGGGCCUGGGGGACCCAUGGGAGCCCCCUGGUGGGGCAUUCGAGCUCCUGAUGGCAUCCCAGGUCGCUGUGCCAGGCUAGGCAGAUGGCAA
RNAcentral lists this long non-coding RNA (729 nucleotides) under Gallus gallus (chicken). Lineage: Eukaryota; Metazoa; Chordata; Aves; Galliformes; Phasianidae. The record is from RNAcentral.